GCCUUCGUGGUGUAACGGUAACACACUCGGCGCGUAUUCAAGAGGUCCAGGUUCAAGUCCCGGCGAGGGCA
This 71-nucleotide transfer RNA is filed under the name Stegodyphus mimosarum. It matches the Rfam family "tRNA". From Rfam's summary of the family: Transfer RNA (tRNA) molecules are approximately 80 nucleotides in length. The record is from Rfam by way of RNAcentral. Lineage: Eukaryota; Metazoa; Arthropoda; Arachnida; Araneae; Eresidae.